RNAcentral lists this ribosomal RNA (1346 nucleotides) under uncultured bacterium. RNAcentral's name for it is "bacterial SSU rRNA". It matches the Rfam family "Bacterial small subunit ribosomal RNA", at positions 28 to 1381 of the family's 1533-position model. The record is from RNAcentral.
GACGAACGCUGGCGGCGUGCUUAACACAUGCAAGUCGAACGGAAAGGCCCUGCUUUUGUGGGGUGCUCGAGUGGCGAACGGGUGAGUAAUACGUGAGUAACCUGCCCUUGACUUUGGGAUAACUUCAGGAAACUGGGGCUAAUACCGGAUAGGAGCUCCUGCUGCAUGGUGGGGGUUGGAAAGUUUCGGCGGUUGGGGAUGGACUCGCGGCUUAUCAGCUUGUUGGUGGGGUAGUGGCUUACCAAGGCUUUGACGGGUAGCCGGCCUGAGAGGGUGACCGGCCACAUUGGGACUGAGAUACGGCCCAGACUCCUACGGGAGGCAGCAGUGGGGAAUAUUGCACAAUGGGCGGAAGCCUGAUGCAGCAACGCCGCGUGCGGGAUGACGGCCUUCGGGUUGUAAACCGCUUUCGCCUGUGACGAAGCGUGAGUGACGGUAAUGGGUAAAGAAGCACCGGCUAACUACGUGCCAGCAGCCGCGGUGAUACGUAGGGUGCGAGCGUUGUCCGGAUUUAUUGGGCGUAAAGGGCUCGUAGGUGGUUGAUCGCGUCGGAAGUGUAAUCUUGGGGCUUAACCCUGAGCGUGCUUUCGAUACGGGUUGACUUGAGGAAGGUAGGGGAGAAUGGAAUUCCUGGUGGAGCGGUGGAAUGCGCAGAUAUCAGGAGGAACACCAGUGGCGAAGGCGGUUCUCUGGGCCUUUCCUGACGCUGAGGAGCGAAAGCGUGGGGAGCGAACAGGCUUAGAUACCCUGGUAGUCCACGCUGUAAACGGUGGGUACUAGGUGUGGGGUCCAUUCCACGGGUUCCGUGCCGUAGCAAACGCUUUAAGUACCCCGCCUGGGGAGUACGGCCGCAAGGCUAAAACUCAAAGGAAUUGACGGGGCCCCGCACAAGCGGCGGAGCAUGCGGAUUAAUUCGAUGCAACGCGUAGAACCUUACCUGGGUUUGACAUGGAUCGGGAGCGCUCAGAGAUGGGUGUGCCUCUUUUGGGGUCGGUUCACAGGUGGUGCAUGGCUGUCGUCAGCUCGUGUCGUGAGAUGUUGGGUUAAGUCCCGCAACGAGCGCAACCCUUGUUCACUGUUGCCAGCACGUUAUGGUGGGGACUCAGUGGAGACCGCCGGGGUCAACUCGGAGGAAGGUGGGGAUGACGUCAAGUCAUCAUGCCCCUUAUGUCCAGGGCUUCACGCAUGCUACAAUGGCUGGUACAGAGAGUGGCGAGCCUGUGAGGGUGAGCGAAUCUCGGAAAGCCGGUCUCAGUUCGGAUUGGGGUCUGCAACUCGACCUCAUGAAGUCGGAGUCGCUAGUAAUCGCAGAUCAGCAACGCUGCGGUGAAUACGUUCCCGGGGCU